GCCAUCUUAGCUCAGUUGGCUAGAGCGCGUGACUUGUAAUCUCGAGGUCCCCGGUUCAAUUCCGGGAGAUGGCU
Molecule: transfer RNA, 74 nt
Filed under: Treponema sp.
Lineage: Bacteria; Pseudomonadati; Spirochaetota; Spirochaetia; Treponematales; Treponemataceae
Description: tRNA-Thr
Rfam family: tRNA
About the family: Transfer RNA (tRNA) molecules are approximately 80 nucleotides in length. Their secondary structure includes four short double-helical elements and three loops (D, anti-codon, and T loops).
Source: RNAcentral